GAUUUCUGGUUUGAUAUGCCUGGCCCGCCAUGUUACAUGUGUGAGUGCCGGUGCGUGUCUGCCAUCCUUCUGGAAAACGUGUCUACCCUUCACUGGGCCGGAUGCGCGAUCCAGAUCAUUUACUUUGAAAAAAUUAGAGUGUUUAAAGCAGGCUUGCGCUAUGAAUAUAUUAGCAUGGAAUAAUAACUUAGGACUUUGGCUUAGAGUUUUAUUUGGUAUUUUGUGGGCUAAAGUAAUGAUUGAUAGGGACAGUUGGGGGUGCUAGUAUUCAGCGGCCAGAGGUGAAAUUCUUGGAUUCGCUGAAGACUAACUUAUGCGAAAGCAUU
Molecule: ribosomal RNA, 326 nt
Filed under: Kraken sp.
Lineage: Eukaryota; Cercozoa
Description: SSU rRNA
Rfam family: Eukaryotic small subunit ribosomal RNA (bases 105-326)
Source: RNAcentral